GAGACAGCGGAGAUUCAUUACCCGCCGACACAAUGACCAUUGAUGGCCCCGUGGCGUUAUUCAAAUCCAGUACCAAUUGCAGCCGAGCCCCUUUCUCCGCGCCAGGCCCGUAUUGUUGGAGCGGCCCACUAAAAGCCCGCCCCGGCCCCGAGCCGCCAGAGGCGCCCGCUCGGGUUCAGCCCUGCGCCUCGUCAGCCCGCCGGCUCCCAGCCCGGCUCCCCGGGCGCUGCAGGUGACCCGGCGGCGCAUUCCAGCGCUCCCCGCUGCCCGGGCCACCGCCGCCACCGCUACCGCCGGCGUCCCGGCCGCGACUCAGCCACAGGGAAGCGGAGAGCGCCCGAGCCGCCCCUCCAGACGGACCGAUGGGCUGAGGCACCUCCAGCCGCUGCCGGAGUCGGAGAAGCGUCGGGAAUGAUGCGCUCCAGCCGGGCAAUCGCCUUGGCUUUGGAAACAGAACUUGGACAAACGAAUCCUUUACAUUAAAGACAAAUCUUCCGAGA
Long non-coding RNA from Equus caballus (horse), 500 nucleotides. RefSeq lists it as uncharacterized. Lineage: Eukaryota; Metazoa; Chordata; Mammalia; Perissodactyla; Equidae. The record is from RefSeq and is a predicted model, not a curated record.